Acanthosepion pharaonis is the source of this 109-nucleotide non-coding RNA. The record is from the annotation of a GenBank genome assembly. Lineage: Eukaryota; Metazoa; Mollusca; Cephalopoda; Sepiida; Sepiidae.
UACGGUCACAUUGCGUUGAAACACCGGUUCUCGUUUGAUCACCGAAGUUAAGCAACGUCGAGUCUGGUUAGAAGCUAGAUGGGUGACCGUUUGGAAAUUCCAGGUGCUC